This is a long non-coding RNA of Episyrphus balteatus (marmalade hoverfly), 367 nucleotides long. RefSeq lists it as uncharacterized. The transcript is spliced from 3 exons. NCBI's taxonomy places the organism in Eukaryota, Metazoa, Arthropoda, Insecta, Diptera, Syrphidae. The record is from RefSeq and is a predicted model, not a curated record.
AAAUAAUUUCUUCAAAAACACAUUUUUUAAAUUUACGAAACCAGUAAAUUGGUUUCCAAAAAAUUAAAAAAAUUAUAAAUACAUAUGUAUGUACAUAAAUGGAUCUUUUGAAAAGUUUUGAAACAGUUUUCUUAACGGAAAUAUAAUGUAUCUACAUAAAUCAAAUCCCCAAAAACUAUGUUUGAUGAAAACCAGCUUCAAUUCAAUUGGACUCAAGAUCUGUAUUAACAGAGGAAUAGAAAGAAACAGAGAAGAAAAAAAGACGAUGUAAAAUUAAAGAAAACUUUCACCAAAAGUCAACGAGCCUUAAAAUGAAAAAAUAAAGAAGAAAAAGGGAACAUUGCCAAAAAAGAAAAAAAAAAAAGCU